ACCAGGUGAGACCACACACACACAAUCAGUCUCUCUUCUUCACUUCAUCCCUCUCCCCCUUCUCCCUAAAUCCUCUAGGUUAUAUCUGCUGUUUUGUAGAACCCUUCAUGCAUCUGAACUGGCUGACACAGAUGGCAUAGCAUGAUCAUAGGUAUGUUUUGAUGUGAGAGAGGAAGCCUGUCCCAUCAUCGCCACCUCACAUGCUCUUAAGAUAACCAGAUUUGGGCCCCCAGUUGGCCCGAAGGUUAGGAGACACCGUGAUUGUGAUGAACUGAGAGAAUAUUAGGGUAGCACUGUAAUUCAUUAAUCGGAUGCUGUCUACCGCUGGUCUUACCACUUUCCCUUUGUCUUCCACACCUCUCUUGCCACCUCGUCUUUCUUACUACUUUAAUAAUGCACACCAUAUGUUCAUUGACGUACAGAUUGAACUUGUAUUUAUAUUAUAAUUAUAAUGCAUGUAUUAUGUAUUUAUAACACCUGGCUAAUGAACGUCUUUCAAUAAAUGUUUCACAUUCUCCA
Molecule: long non-coding RNA, 519 nt
Organism: Oncorhynchus kisutch (coho salmon)
Lineage: Eukaryota; Metazoa; Chordata; Actinopteri; Salmoniformes; Salmonidae
Exons: 2
Source: RefSeq, a predicted model, not a curated record